GACGAACGCUGGCGGCGUGCUUAACACAUGCAAGUCGAACGGAAAGGCCCUGGUUUUGGGGGGUGCUCGAGUGGCGAACGGGUGAGUAACACGUGAGUAACCUGCCCUUGACUUUGGGAUAACUUCAGGAAACUGGGGCUAAUACCGGAUAGGAGCGCCUGCUGCAUGGUGGGGGUUGGAAAGUUUCGGCGGUUGGGGAUGGACUCGCGGCUUAUCAGCUUGGUUGUGGGGUAGUGGCUUACCAAGGCUUUGACGGGUAGCCGGCCUGAGAGGGUGACCGGCCACAUUGGGUCUGAGAUACGGCCCAGACUCCUUCGGGCGGCAGCAGUGGGGAAGAUUGCAUCAUGGGCGGAAGCCUGACGCAGCAACGCCGCGUGCGUGAUGACGGCCUUCGGUUUGUAAGCCGCUUUCGCCUGUUACGAAGCGUGAGUGACGGUACUGGGUAAAGAAGCACCGGCUAACUACGUG
This 468-nucleotide ribosomal RNA is filed under the name uncultured bacterium. Its description in RNAcentral is "partial 16S ribosomal RNA". It matches the Rfam family "Bacterial small subunit ribosomal RNA", at positions 28 to 507 of the family's 1533-position model. The record is from RNAcentral.